RNAcentral lists this long non-coding RNA (1454 nucleotides) under Amborella trichopoda. RNAcentral describes it as "long non-coding RNA (ATRI_LNC005326)". Lineage: Eukaryota; Viridiplantae; Streptophyta; Magnoliopsida; Amborellales; Amborellaceae. The record is from RNAcentral.
ACUAGCUUGCAUUCCGGUCUAAGCGAUAAAUGGUGGACCACCAUGUCAGUGUCUAACCCAGGCAUAUUCUCAUUCAUAAGACCAUGCGAAGACGUCUUUGUAUUCCCUAAGCAACUGAAUAAGCUGUGUCUUCACUUCUUCUGGCAACGAUGCCCCGAUUUUUACCUCUUUUAUGUCCCCAUCUUCCCCAGAUUCUAAGGAAUGAAUCUGGGGGUUCAAUUCCUUCUUCAUCGGUGUAGCUGAGUUUCAACAGUUUAGUUUGAGCAUACUAACUUUAAUCGAUCUGAAUUAUAGCACAAGAACCUGUAAUAAUAGAUAAAAGACAGAGAUUAAUGGAAGUGCUUGGAAUGUGGUGAUUGUGGACAACUGUAUGAAGGAAAUGGAAAUGGAAACAAGUGCAUUCAUAGAAAUUGAUGCAUCACCCUCUUAGAGGUCACUGGCUACACCUCUGGAGUACACCUUUGAUACAUCUUUACACAGAGUUCUGGGGGGAGCCUGGUGUUAUCUCCCAGUUGUUGAUUGGAGCCCAUGCGGGGUCAGGAGUUCACUCUGAAAAAUGAGAGACUAUCAACUGCGCAACAGUCUUCAAAUCGAGGGUGCAUUCAUCAAACAAAUCUUGCACCUUGCAUUUCAGCGGUCCACACUUGUCAGGAGAAUGGCCAACAAUCCCCAUAUGAUAGUCACACUAGGCAUUGGGAUCAUAUGUCCUUGAAAGGGGGUUCGGUGUAAACUUGGCUGCAAUUGGCUCCAUAUAAUUGUUCUCAAGUAGCAAUGGCAAGAGUUCAAACAAGGUGACUGGUAGUGAGGUUCAGUCUCGUUUCUUCCUCUCAUCCUUCCUUGGUCGGCUUGGUUGCAUAAAGAAGGUGCCAUGUGGAUUUUGAAAUGCCCCAUAUUCGUCAGCAUGAAUAACCAUUUGAACCCCAUCUUCUUCAUCUUCAAUGGAAUCCCUCAUCUCUUGGACAGUUUUCUUUUGCAAUAGUGCAGGGAGCUCAGCUGCUGGGUGGUCUGAGCUGGUGGUGCUGACAGUGAGCCCAUCAGUAAGUUGAUCAGAAAGUUCUUCCAUAGAAUCUUCACUCAAGGCAUCGAAAGUACUUCUAGGUUCCAGAAUGUCAACAACAACACUCCGGUCCUUUCCAUGGGUGACUCGUAUUUCUCCUCUCCUCAAUAGGUUCUCAAUCUCAAGUCUCAACUCGAAACAGGUUUCAAUACAAUGCCCCCUUUAGUUCUUGUGGUAGAGGCAGACUCUCUUUGGAUCAUGGAAAAGGGUCUUUGCUCGUUCUUCUUUGGCUCUUGGGGUAAUGUAUCUAUAGUCAAUGAGAGUGGGGUACACUGAGGAAAUUGGGACUGGGAGAAUCGGAGUGACAAGUUCCUUCUUCGUUGGAGUUCUUAUAAUUCUGGGCCCUUUCCCCUCUUUCGAUUCCAAUGGAGGUGCUUCAACAAUGAUGAAACCUAGC